Molecule: ribosomal RNA, 253 nt
Filed under: uncultured bacterium
Lineage: Bacteria
Description: partial 16S ribosomal RNA
Rfam family: Bacterial small subunit ribosomal RNA
Source: RNAcentral
UACGGAGGAGGCAAGCGUUAUCCGGAAUUAUUGGGCGUAAAGCGUCCGCAGGUGGUUGGUCAAGUCUGCUGUCAAAGCGCAAAGCUUAACUUUGUAAAGGCAGUGGAAACUGAUGAACUUGAGGGUGAUAGGGGCAGAGGGAAUUCCCAGUGUAGCGGUGAAAUGCGUAGAGAUUGGGAAGAACACCGGUGGCGAAAGCGCUCUGCUGGGUCACACCUGACACUGAGGGACGAAAGCUAGGGGAGCGAAAGGG